Molecule: transfer RNA, 87 nt
Organism: Yarrowia lipolytica
Lineage: Eukaryota; Fungi; Ascomycota; Dipodascomycetes; Dipodascales
Rfam family: tRNA
About the family: Transfer RNA (tRNA) molecules are approximately 80 nucleotides in length. Their secondary structure includes four short double-helical elements and three loops (D, anti-codon, and T loops).
Source: Rfam
GGCCCGAUGGUUUAGUGGUAUAAUUCUCGCUUAGGGUGUUCCUGAGCAAUUUGCGAGAGGUCCCGGGUUCAAUUCCCGGUUGGGCCC